GGAUCCAUAGCUUAAUGGUAAAAGCGACCAACUCCACAUUGGUCCAAAAGAAUAUAGAGGGUUCGAUUCCUGCUGGAUCCA
Molecule: non-coding RNA, 81 nt
Filed under: Musa acuminata (dwarf banana)
Lineage: Eukaryota; Viridiplantae; Streptophyta; Magnoliopsida; Zingiberales; Musaceae
Also listed under: 2 other names
Description: tRNA-Trp
Rfam family: tRNA
About the family: Transfer RNA (tRNA) molecules are approximately 80 nucleotides in length. Their secondary structure includes four short double-helical elements and three loops (D, anti-codon, and T loops).
Source: RNAcentral